UACGGAGGGUGCUAGCGUUGUUCGGAAUUACUGGGCGUAAAGCGCACGUAGGCGGCGAUUUAAGUCAGAGGUGAAAGCCCGGGGCUCAACCCCGGAAUUGCCUUUGAGACUGGAUUGCUUGAAUCCGGGAGAGGUGAGUGGAAUUCCGAGUGUAGAGGUGAAAUUCGUAGAUAUUCGGAAGAACACCAGUGGCGAAGGCGGCUCACUGGACCGGCAUUGACGCUGAGGUGCGAAAGCGUGGGGAGCAAACAGG
RNAcentral lists this ribosomal RNA (253 nucleotides) under uncultured bacterium. RNAcentral's name for it is "partial 16S ribosomal RNA". It matches the Rfam family "Bacterial small subunit ribosomal RNA", at positions 524 to 776 of the family's 1533-position model. The record is from RNAcentral.